Molecule: long non-coding RNA, 231 nt
Filed under: Sorghum bicolor (sorghum)
Lineage: Eukaryota; Viridiplantae; Streptophyta; Magnoliopsida; Poales; Poaceae
Description: long non-coding RNA (SBIC_LNC012701)
Source: RNAcentral
AAUCAGGAAACUGUUGUGUUAAGCCGAUUAGAAAAUGCCGAUGGCCAAUGAUGCCGAUGACGGAGUGAUGGGUGAAGGAUGCUGAUAGCCUGAGGAAGGAGACGGUGGCUACUGAUUAUUGCCGAUUGGCCGCCAAUGCCGAUGGAGAGCGAUUGAUCGCCGAUGCCGAUGGAGGAGAGCGUAGAGAUUGCUAAGGAACCUGCAAGGAGUAUGCCGAUGAAGCAAGAGCUU